This 1053-nucleotide small RNA is filed under the name Pongo abelii (Sumatran orangutan). RNAcentral describes it as "retained intron". The record is from RNAcentral. Lineage: Eukaryota; Metazoa; Chordata; Mammalia; Primates; Hominidae.
AACCUGGUCUUUCAUAAAUUAACCUGUAGUCAUUAAUAGCUUAGAAAUGACGUAAAGCAUCAGAUGAAGUAAAUACAGCAUUUAAAGUUAUUUGAGAAAGCCUGGAAAGAAAAUCAUGAAUACAUUACCUUUAGUGUCUUUCCAGCAGUCAGAAAACUACUUUUGCUUGAGUUUAGGGUUGUCACUUUUGUACAUUGUGAUUCCUCCUCUCUCUGAAUGAACGGUUUAUGAGAGGUCUGUGUUAAUGAAAAGUUUAACUUCCUAAUAAGCCAUUUGGGUUCGUGUUGUGGUUUGCUCUGUUUUUCUCAUUUUCUCUUAGCUGGAUGCUAGUGAUUCCAGUUCUAGCAGCAAUCUUUCACUUGCUAAGGUUAGGCCGAGCAGUGAUCUCAACAACAGUACUGGCCAGUCUCCUCACCACAAAGUGCAGAGAAGUGUUUCUUCAAGCCAGAAGCAAAGACGCUACAGUGACCAUGCUGGACCAGCUAUUCCUUCUGUUGUGGCGUAUCCGAAAAGGAGUCAGACCAGCACUGCAGAUAGUGACCUCAAAGAAGAUGGAAUUUCCUCCCGGAAAUCAAGUGGCAGUGCUGUUGGAGGAAAGGGAAUUGCUCCAGCCAGUCCCAUGCUUGGGAAUGCAAGUAAUCCCAAUAAGGCGGAUAUUCCUGAACGCAAGAAAAGCUCCACUGUACCUAGUAGUAACACAGCAUCUGGUGGAAUGACACGACGAAAUACUUAUGUUUGCAGUGAGAGAACUACAGCUGAUAGACACUCAGUGAUUCAGAAUGGCAAAGAAAACAGCACUAUUCCUGAUCAGAGAACUCCAGUUGCUUCAACACACAGUAUUAGUAGUGCAGCCACCCCGGAUCGAAUCCGUUUCCCAAGAGGCACUGCCAGUCGUAGCACUUUCCACGGCCAGCCCCGGGAACGGCGAACCGCAACAUAUAAUGGCCCUCCUGCCUCUCCCAGCCUGUCCCAUGAAGCCACACCGUUGUCCCAGACUCGAAGCCGAGGCUCCACUAAUCUCUUUAGUAAAUUAACUUCAAAACUCACAAGGAG